AUGACAACAAGGCGAAUGGCCUCCGCAGCAGAGGCGCCGCCGGAGGACACCAUGCCCUCCUCGUCCCCUGGUCCCCGCGGGCAGGCGGGCUAUCCCGCCGCCUUCUUCUCGGUCGACCUCGCCGCCGCCGCGCGCCGCCUACUCGCGUUCCUUCGCUCCGAGUCCGCCCGAGGAAACGCGGGGCCGCGGUCCGUGCGGAGGUACGAGGAGAUGUGGCUGCCGCUCGCCGCGGAUGCGGCGGGUGGAGGGGGAGAGGAGGCGGCGAUGCUGGUGCCCCCGCCCGACGUGCACCUCGUCUGGCUCUGCCACUGCUUCCACCACGAGAGCUAUGUUGCGUACUGUGCAUCAAGGUUUGGGCGCCUCAUCGAUCGACCAUCAAUACUUGAUGCUGAGAAUGAGGAGCAUGCCGCUGACUGUUGUCGGGACAUCUGGGCCGCGCGCUACCCAUUGGAGCCGUUUGACCUUGACAGCAGUGAAUUUGAUGGAAAUAAUUCAAAUGGCAUUGAGAAUGACAGUGCUAAUAGUGAAAUUUUCAUGAUGGUUCAAACAUACGCCGGCCUAGCAGACCACUUUGCCUCGCCCUUUGUCUCAGAAGGUGUCUACCAUGUCGCUGCGAGACGGCGUUACACGUGUUUCCUUGACCUCAUCAGAAAGGGUGUGUGCACAACCAGAGAAGACACUCGACUCGUGCCUAGCCUGGACAUAUUACUGAUGUGGCUUGCUCAUCAGAGUUUUCCGGCAAGCUAUGCAACAGACAUGACACUGAUGUCUAUCAAGGACAGCGUUAUGAAAAUGGUGGUCAGUUAUGGGGAGGUGGCCAGUGAGGAGACGGUGGAGAGGACAAGGAUCUUGUGGGAGGAGGCAUAUGAUGAGCCAUACGAUCUGUCUGGUUCAGAGGUUGAUGCGGCAGCAGUUGGCACAGCAAGGGAGGCGUUCCACUGGCAGGCUGCAGCAUCAGAAGAGGACACCAACCGGCUGUACAAGGGGUUGCAACCUAGAUUUCUUAUGGAGGUAUGUGUGUUCCUGAAAGGAGAAUUUGACAGCGAGCACAUUAGCAAGGAAUUUCUGCGUUUGCGAGCACAGAGGUGUUACAGAUCAUUAAAGCUCGAUAAGUCAGUGUCCAAUUUAUCCUGCAAAAACUGGCAGAAAAUGUGGCACAUGUAUUGUGAAUUUGCAACCCGAGGUCUCACCAUUGAGGUAAGGCGCAGCAUGGGUGGGUGCUUCAGGAACAGCAAGAUCCUCAAGAAUAUAUCAUUCUCAUGGAAUGAUAUGCUGCAUGAGAAAUCACUUAUGCUUACAGAGGAGCUCGAUGCCAGGAUUAUGGUGAUGGCAUCGAUUACCCCUCCAAUUCAAGCACCUUACUUAUUGAAGUGCGUGCCUGACAGAGUCACUGAUGAUGGCGGGGCAAUGAUUUCUGAUGUCAUAUUGCGCAUGAGAAGUUACCGUCCACAGGAAGGACGGUGGCUGACCCGUACAGUACUUGAUUAUGGUGGGAAAGAAUGUUUCGUCGUUAGGAUGAGAAUAGGCAGAGGGAUUUGGCGGAGAGGACCUGAAACUCCCAUGGCAGUGAAAUGGGAAGAUAGGAUCAUUGAGGUCCGAGAAGGCUCAUGGUCCUACAUUGCAAGUGCAACAUCCGUUGGUUAUGCUCCGGAAAAGGUGGUUGGCACAGCAACGCCAACGAAAUAUCAACAGGAGAAUAAGGUUGUUUGGCGUUUUUCAACUGGAGAUGUACUGACAGUGUGGUUGGGAGAUGACCUCAACUUUCAGCUACAUAAUGAGACUUCAGAAGAAGAGCAGGCAAGGCUGCUUGUAGGGAGGAGACUGAGUUACAGCGUAAAGAAGGACAGCACAUCAAAUAACCACAGCGAGGAAGAGCAGUACCUCACCCUAGUCCGAACAUCACCAUAUUAUCCUGAUGGCAGGGCAACCGCGCUCCUAAACUGGAAAUUGCUCGCAAUGGAGUUCUUACCCAAAGAGGAUGCAGUCUUUGUGCUCCUCUUAUGCAUGGCAAUCGCACGGACAAUGACGGAGAUCAGAAGGGAAGACGUGGCUGGGCUUCUGGUGCGACGAAGAAUACGCGAACCGCAGGUAGGGCAGAGAGACUGGGGUUCCGUGAUGCUGCCGGACUCGCCUUCCCUUGACCCUCAUUUGCAGCCGUGGUACCGGAAUGCAGCGCGUGUUUUGAGCUCUGCAGAGAUGGUGCUGCCUAACAGAGCGAUGCCCGUUGGGAACUCGCCUACCGAUGGCAAGGAUGAGCUGUACAGGCAAGCUCUUAUACCUUGA
Molecule: ribosomal RNA, 2283 nt
Filed under: Triticum aestivum (bread wheat)
Lineage: Eukaryota; Viridiplantae; Streptophyta; Magnoliopsida; Poales; Poaceae
Description: partial small subunit ribosomal RNA
Source: RNAcentral